RNAcentral lists this ribosomal RNA (656 nucleotides) under Caloplaca thracopontica. RNAcentral's name for it is "eukaryotic LSU rRNA". The stretch from base 269 to 422 matches the Rfam family "5.8S ribosomal RNA". The record is from RNAcentral. Lineage: Eukaryota; Fungi; Ascomycota; Lecanoromycetes; Teloschistales; Teloschistaceae.
UUGGUCCAUUUAGAGGAAGUAAAAGUCGUAACAAGGUUUCCGUAGGUGAACCUGCGGAAGGAUCAUUAUUGAGAGGGGGGCCUCGCGCUCCAGGGGCCUCGUGCCCCGCACCUUUCCACCCUUUGUGUAUCUUCCACUGUUGCUUUGGCGGGCCCCGGGGUUUACCCCUCGGCGCUGGUCCCCUGCGAAGGGGGCUCGCGAGCGCCCGCCAGAGGCCCAUCUAAACCUGUUGUAUCAGUGCUGUCUGAGUAUACGAAUAAUCAAUUAAAACUUUCAACAACGGAUCUCUUGGUUCUGGCAUCGAUGAAGAACGCAGCGAAAUGCGAUAAGUAAUGUGAAUUGCAGAACUCAGUGAAUCAUCGAAUCUUUGAACGCACAUUGCGCCCUUUGGUAUUCCGAAGGGCAUGCCUGUUCGAGCGUCAUUACACCCCUCAAGCUCUGCUUGGUAUUGGGCGUCCGCCCCCUGUUCCCGGGGGGCGCGCCCGAAAUUCAGUGGCGGUCCAGGUGGACUUCAAGCGCAGUAAACUUUUGUUCGCUUUGGAAGCCUUCUGCCUGCGGCCCUGCCAGCCAACGAUUACCCCCAAUUAUUGACCUCGGAUCAGGUAGGGAUACCCGCUGAACUUAACCAUAUCAAUAAGCGGAGGAAGAUUCGCGUU